UGGGGAAUCUUCGGCAACGGGCGAAAGCCUGACCGAGCCAUGCCGCGUGCGUGAAGAAGGCCUUAGGGUUGUAAAGCGCUUUCAGCGGGGACGAUGAUGACGGUACCCGCAGAAGAAGCCCCGGCUAACUCCGUGCCAGCAGCCGCGGUAAUACGGAGGGGGCAAGCGUUGUUCGGAAUUACUGGGCGUAAAGGGCGCGUAGGCGGCACAUCAAGUCAGAGGUGAAAGCCCCGGGCUCAACCUGGGAAUUGCCUUUGAAACUGAUGAGCUAGAGUCCGGAAGAGGAUAGCGGAAUUCCCAGUGUAGAGGUGAAAUUCGUAGAUAUUGGGAAGAACACCAGUGGCGAAGGCGGCUAUCUGGUCCGGUACUGACGCUGAGGCGCGAAAGCGUGGGGAGCAAACAGGAUUAGAUACCCCUGUAGUCC
This 424-nucleotide ribosomal RNA is filed under the name uncultured prokaryote. RNAcentral describes it as "bacterial SSU rRNA". It matches the Rfam family "Bacterial small subunit ribosomal RNA", at positions 355 to 796 of the family's 1533-position model. The record is from RNAcentral.